Long non-coding RNA from Sorghum bicolor (sorghum), 870 nucleotides. RefSeq lists it as uncharacterized. Lineage: Eukaryota; Viridiplantae; Streptophyta; Magnoliopsida; Poales; Poaceae. The record is from RefSeq and is a predicted model, not a curated record. The transcript has 4 exons.
CUCUCGGUCUCUUCCUCUCGAAGCUUCCCCUCCCGCAGCCUCUAUCGCUCCGCCUCGAUCUAGCCCAGCGCCGCCCCUUCCUCCGGCGCUGCCCCUGCUUCCGGCGCCGCCUCCUCCCCGCCCUCCCCCUCCUCCCCCACACGCGCCAUGCGGCGCGCACCAGCCUGCGCCGACGGACAACGACGGCGCGCCCCAACCCCGUUGCCUCCGCUCGGCGUCGUGUGAUGUCCGCCCUACGUCAAUCGGCAUGCUGGCGCAAACGCCAGCACCAACUCCGCCUCCAUCUCGCUGCGUGAUAAUUUGUCCAAGGAUCCAAUCCUGCUUCCACCGCUUCGGUAGAUUUUCCCAUGUUUGAUAAUCUGCUUUGUUCUGUGUCCAUGGACCCACAGGCCGCAGCAAUGUUGGUAGUAUGCUCUCCCUCGCCCAGCACCUCCAGUCGCGCAACCCCGCUGCAGCAACCUUGAAAUUGCUUAAAUGAGUUGUCGUGGAGGUUGUGAAAAGGAUGAGUUAUCCCUAGUAGCAGAUAUACUGGCUCAGGAUAUUCAUUAGCUUCCCAUGAGGAACUAAAGGAAGGAAGACAGAUAAGCCGUGUUGAGCUCUAUAGUAACACAUACAGAACAAAUGGGCAGCCAAUUGAUGACUAAAGCUUUGAAAAAAUACAGCUUGAUUAUUUGUCAGUCAUAAAACAGAUGAUGCUGGUGCUCGUUUAAUCAACUUGAUUCAGAGAUAUAUCAGCUCUGGGUUAUCUGAAUCAUGGAAGCUUUCUCCCUCUACUUCUUUAUCUACAUCUUUUGUUGCACUACUUCCAUUUGCAUCAUUUAAGAUUGGGGACCUACACAAAAGGACUUGGGAAUAUCAUUUGAAGAUAGA